Non-coding RNA from Pelodiscus sinensis (Chinese soft-shelled turtle), 827 nucleotides. The record is from RefSeq and is a predicted model, not a curated record. Lineage: Eukaryota; Metazoa; Chordata; Testudines; Trionychidae.
CACGCCACACAGGAAGCGAGCCGGCCCUUUGCUCCUGCACUGCAGCACCGGCGUGGGCCAGAUGGGGACGCUGAUCGCCCUGGACUGCCUGCUGCACCAGAUGAAAGCUGAGCGGAGCGUGGACAUCUAUGGAGUCACCCUCAGGCUGACGAGAAGCUGCUGCCUCAUGACCCCGACGCCGGACCAGUACGUGUUCCUGUACAUGUGCAUCCGGGACAUCCUAGCCCAGAGGCAGCCCUAGGGAGAGCCCAGCAGUUCCUGCCCUGGAGAGAAGCCUAGCGCUGGGGGCAGGCGGAGGAGAACCCAACUGACGCCCCCCUACCCGGGGCUGAGGCACCAGCCGCCUCCUGCCCCUCUAGGCCAGCGCAGACCAGGAGCUACGGUUGGGUUAGCCAGUGUCAUCGCGUCAAGACGUCAGACUCUGCUGGUCUCCUUUGGCCGGGACGUGCACCGUGUGCACCAGCCUCCCGCACUGCUGCCACCCACUGCAGGUGGGGCGUGGGAACCUGUCCAGGACUCAAGGCUACGGAGGCUACGUCCCUGUUGCCUGGGAUUCCUGGGACGCUGGAAUAUCCAUUCAUCCAGUCGCCCUCGCGCUUGCUCUGGGAUCCUGCCAGCCUCCGUGCUGCCCUCCAAUGGUCCCUCAUUUUGUCUGCCUAUGUGCAGAACAAAUUCUCUGUGCACCUAGGCAAGUGCAGAUGUGCACCACCAGGGCCGGCCCAUUUUGGCACCCCGGUCCCCAGGUGCGUGGUGCUGCCCCCGGGGCGCAUAGCCCUGCCUCCGGGCGCACGGCGCAUGUGCUGCCCAGUCGGCCCGGCCACUGCCAA